Molecule: ribosomal RNA, 253 nt
Filed under: uncultured bacterium
Lineage: Bacteria
Description: partial 16S ribosomal RNA
Rfam family: Bacterial small subunit ribosomal RNA
Source: RNAcentral
CACGUAGGGUGCGAGCGUUGUCCGGAAUUAUUGGGCGUAAAGGGCUCGUAGGCGGUCUGUUGCGUCGGGAGUGAAAACUCAGGGCUUAACCCUGAGCCUGCUUCCGAUACGGGCAGACUAGAGGUAUGCAGGGGAGAACGGAAUUCCUGGUGUAGCGGUGAAAUGCGCAGAUAUCAGGAGGAACACCGAUGGCGAAGGCAGGUCUCUGGGCAUUAACUGACGCUGAGGAGCGAAAGCAUGGGGAGCGAACAGG